UGGAGCAUGUGGUUCAAUUCGACGCAACGCGAAGAACCUUACCCAGGCUUGAACAGCGAGUGACCAGCGACGAAAGUUGCCUUCCGCAAGGACACUCGUAGAGGUGCUGCAUGGCUGUCGUCAGCUCGUGUCGUGAGAUGUUGGGUUAAGUCCCGCAACGAGCGCAACCCUUGUUUGCUGUUGCCAUCACGUUAUGGUGGGCACUCUGCAAAGACUGCCGGUGAUAAACCGGAGGAAGGUGGGGAUGACGUCAAGUCAGCAUGGCCUUUAUGUCUGGGGCUACACACGUGCUACAAUGGCCGGUACAAACCGUCGCAAAACCGCAAGGUGAAGCUAAUCGGAUAAAGCCGGUCUCAGUUCGGAUAGCAGGCUGCAACUCGCCUGCUUGAAGUUGGAAUCGCUAGUAAUCGCGGAUCAGCACGCCGCGGUGAAUACGUUCCCGGGCCUUGUACACACCGCCCGUCACAUCACGAAAGCCGGUUGUACUAGAAGUC
RNAcentral lists this ribosomal RNA (494 nucleotides) under uncultured soil bacterium. Its description in RNAcentral is "bacterial SSU rRNA". It matches the Rfam family "Bacterial small subunit ribosomal RNA", at positions 933 to 1428 of the family's 1533-position model. The record is from RNAcentral.